CCCGCCGUUAAAAACAGCGGGCUACUUUCUGCCGUCCCUCCGGGACU
Molecule: small RNA, 47 nt
Filed under: Candidatus Electrothrix marina
Lineage: Bacteria; Pseudomonadati; Thermodesulfobacteriota; Desulfobulbia; Desulfobulbales; Desulfobulbaceae
Description: Acido-Lenti-1 RNA
Rfam family: Acido-Lenti-1 RNA
Source: Rfam by way of RNAcentral